GACGAACGCUGGCGGCGUGCUUAACACAUGCAAGUCGAACGGAAAGGCCCUGCUUUUGUGGGGUGCUCGAGUGGCGAACGGGUGAGUAACACGUGAGUAACCUGCCCUUCACUUUGGGAUAACUUCAGGAAACUGGGGCUAAUCCCGUAUCGGAUCCCAUGUUGCGUGGUGAGCGUGGGAAAUUUGCGGCGGUUGGGGAUGGAUUAGCGGCUGUCCGACUUGUUGGUGGGGUAGUGGUUUACCAAGGGUUUGAAUGGUAGCCGGCCUGAGUGGGUGGCCGGGCACCUGGGGCCUGAGAGACGGCCCAGAGUGGUACGGGAGGCAGAAGUGGGGAAUAUUGCACAAUGGGCGGAAGCCUGAUGCAACAACGCCGCGUUCGUGAUGACGGUUUUCUGGUUGUAAACAGCUUUAGCCUGUGACGCAGCGUGAGUGACGGUAACGGGUAAAGAAGCACCGGCUAACUACGUG
RNAcentral lists this ribosomal RNA (468 nucleotides) under uncultured bacterium. Its description in RNAcentral is "partial 16S ribosomal RNA". It matches the Rfam family "Bacterial small subunit ribosomal RNA", at positions 28 to 507 of the family's 1533-position model. The record is from RNAcentral.